Molecule: long non-coding RNA, 630 nt
Organism: Clupea harengus (Atlantic herring)
Lineage: Eukaryota; Metazoa; Chordata; Actinopteri; Clupeiformes; Clupeidae
Source: Ensembl
ACACAGGCCCCAUUCAAACUCAACACAGGCCCCAUUCACACAGGCCCCAUUCAAACUCAACACAGGCCCCAUUCACACAGGCCCCAUUCAAACUCAACACACGCCCCAUUCAAACUCAACACAGGCCCCAUUCACACUCAACACAGGCCCCAUUCACACAGGCCCCAUUCACACUCAACACAGGCCCCAUUCAAACUCAACACAGGCCCCAUUCAAACUCAACACAGGCCCCAUUCAAACUGUACACACGCCCCAUUCAAACUCAACACAGGCCCCAUUCAAACUCAACACAGGCCCCAUUCAAACUCAACACAGGCCCCAUUCUAACUCAACACAGGCCCCAUUCAAACUCAACACACGCCCCAUUCACACUCAACAUAAGCCCCAUUCAAACUCAACACAGGCCCCAUUCAAACUCAACACAGGCUUAAUUCAAACGUUACACAGGCCCCAUUCAAACUCAACACCACCCUUGCCGAGUCCACUAUUGAGUUAGUUGUCUUUGUAACAACAGCAGUUACUGUUGCUUCUGACAGCUAUUCCUGUUCUCAAAGUACAUCACCUCAUUCCAAUAUGGACUAAAUGAUUCAUUAAUCUAAUAAAUCUACUUAAAACAUCUCAAUAGUCUAU